AGUGAACGCUGGCGGUAGGCCUAACACAUGCAAGUCGAACGGCAGCACAGUAAGAGCUUGCUCUUACGGGUGGCGAGUGGCGGACGGGUGAGGAAUACAUCGGAAUCUACUUUUUCGUGGGUGAUAACGUAGGGAAACUUACGCUAAUACCGCAUACGACCUACGGGUGAAAGCAGGGGAUCUUCUGACCUUGCGCGAUUGAAUGAGCCGAUGUCGGAUUAGCUAGUUGGCGGGGUAAAGGCCCACCAAGGCGACGAUCCGUAGCUGGUCUGAGAGGAUGAUCAGCCAGACUGGAACUGAGACACGGUCCAGACUCCUACGGGAGGAAGCAGUGGGGAAUAUUGGACGAUGGGCGAAAGCCUGAUCCAGCCAUACCGCGUGGGUGAAGAAGGACUUCGGGUUGUAAAGCCCUUUUGUUGGGAAAGAAAAGCAGCAGGUUAAUACCCCGCUGUUCUGACGGUACCCAAAGAAUAAGCACCGGCUAACUUCGUG
RNAcentral lists this ribosomal RNA (492 nucleotides) under uncultured bacterium. RNAcentral's name for it is "partial 16S ribosomal RNA". It matches the Rfam family "Bacterial small subunit ribosomal RNA", at positions 29 to 507 of the family's 1533-position model. The record is from RNAcentral.